AUUUUGCGCAAGGGAUAGCAGCGGUUAGCUCCCGAUAGCUGACAAGCUAGCGGGACUAUGAGCGUAUAGCCCGACCCUAU
RNAcentral lists this unclassified non-coding RNA (80 nucleotides) under Christiangramia echinicola. RNAcentral's name for it is "Gramella echinicola Flavo-1 RNA". Lineage: Bacteria; Pseudomonadati; Bacteroidota; Flavobacteriia; Flavobacteriales; Flavobacteriaceae. The record is from RNAcentral.